UACAGAGGUCCCAAGCGUUGUUCGGAUUCACUGGGCGUAAAGGGUGCGUAGGCGGUGAGGUAAGUUUGAUGUGAAAUCUCUGGGCUUAACCCAGAAAUGGCAUUGAAUACUAUCUUGCUUGAGAGUCGGAGGGGGGACUGGAAUACUUGGUGUAGCAGUGAAAUGCGUAGAUAUCUGGAGGAACACCGGUGGCGAAGGCGGCAUCCUGGACCGACACUGACGCUGAGGAGCGAAAGCCAGGGGAGCAAACGGG
This 253-nucleotide ribosomal RNA is filed under the name uncultured bacterium. Its description in RNAcentral is "partial 16S ribosomal RNA". It matches the Rfam family "Bacterial small subunit ribosomal RNA", at positions 524 to 776 of the family's 1533-position model. The record is from RNAcentral.